GCCCCCGUAGCUCAACCGGACAGAGCAGCGGACUUCUAAUCCGCGGGCUGGGAGUUCGAGUCUCCCCGGGGGCGCAA
RNAcentral lists this transfer RNA (77 nucleotides) under Dehalococcoidia bacterium. RNAcentral's name for it is "tRNA-Arg". It matches the Rfam family "tRNA". Rfam says of the family: Transfer RNA (tRNA) molecules are approximately 80 nucleotides in length. Their secondary structure includes four short double-helical elements and three loops (D, anti-codon, and T loops). Lineage: Bacteria; Bacillati; Chloroflexota; Dehalococcoidia. The record is from RNAcentral.